This 400-nucleotide ribosomal RNA is filed under the name uncultured bacterium. Its description in RNAcentral is "bacterial SSU rRNA". It matches the Rfam family "Bacterial small subunit ribosomal RNA", at positions 28 to 422 of the family's 1533-position model. The record is from RNAcentral.
GAUGAACGCUAGCGGGAGGCUUAACACAUGCAAGUCGAGGGGCAGCACGAUGUAGCAAUACGUUGGUGGCGACCGGCGCACGGGUGAGUAACACGUAUGCAACCUACCCUGUACAGGGGGAUAACCCGGAGAAAUUCGGACUAAUAUCCCAUAAAGAUAUUUGAGGGCAUCCUUGGAUAUUUAAAGCUCAGGCGGUACGGGAUGGGCAUGCGGAACAUUAGCUAGUUGGCAGGGUAACGGCCUACCAAGGCAACGAUGUUUAGGGGACCUGAGAGGGUGAUCCCCCACACUGGUACUGAGACACGGACCAGACUCCUACGGGAGGCAGCAGUGAGGAAUAUUGGUCAAUGGGCGCAAGCCUGAACCAGCCAUCCCGCGUGCAGGAAGACGGCCCUAUGGG